GGCGACCGAGAUAAACCUGGUAUGAUCCUUCUUGCGACGAGCUGCUUUCUGGCCAGUCCGACGCCCAGGCGCUUCCACUGUGCCGGAAGUGUCAACCCCAGGCGGUCUGUUCCCUGCUGCAAUUACGCAAGGUCUCUCAGCCGGGCGUUGGACUGAGUGGUGUUCAAUCCAGCACCAUCGGUCACGUCUCGAAACACGGGCCAAGGAGUAUAGCAUGUGUGCAAGUCUAAGGGUCUCUCAAAACCCGCAGGCGAAGUGAAAGCAAGACUGAGGUGGGGGAGCUACGGCAAACCCGCCGGCCUUGUGUCUGGCGCGCGCGCGCUUACGCGCGCGCGUGUUUUUGACUGGCUUACAACAGAGCUGAUCCUGCUUACAUGGUUAAAUCUUUGUGCAGGCGCAAGCUCCGGGCUCACGUACAAACACCGGUCGUGCCUCGUGCGUGGCUGUGUUGUGAGCACCGUGGAGCAUGCAUGCUAU
This 477-nucleotide ribosomal RNA is filed under the name Haploginglymus morenoi. Its description in RNAcentral is "partial 28S ribosomal RNA". The record is from RNAcentral. Lineage: Eukaryota; Metazoa; Arthropoda; Malacostraca; Amphipoda; Niphargidae.